UUCACUCCAAUAACUCGGCCAGACAUGCCGAAAAUAGCUAAACAAGAUAUCUCCGACCAAUCCCUCCAUUUCCUACACUCCAAGGUUGAUGCAUUGGUGGAUCACAUGAGUAGCAUGGCCUUGCCCAAGAUAUCUGGUAAAUAGGCAAGGACAUCCUCCAAGCAACCACCAAAGAAGGCAGUGAUGGUGUACUACUGUGAGUGUUGUGGACAUGAGGGUCGUGAUGCUUUGACAUGUCAAGUCCAUUCAGAAGAAGUUGCCCCAUAAGAGAACAUUGAGCAAGUUAACUAUGCUCAAGGGGGUUACAACCAGCAAGGUGGAUACAAUCAGGGUGCUAAUGGCUCGAAAUGUGUCGUAGUCAACACCAAUGUUUUGAAGCGGAUUGGAUGCUUUUGACAUAACCCAGGUCCUUUUGGACGCGAGUUAGAUCAGGUCUACGGAAUAUAGAUCCUGGAUUCAAGAGGCGUUUACAUGCAGGAAGGGAUAAGCACCCAACAACGCCCGACAAACCGAUACUAUGAAAUUGGAUAAGUUAUAUUUUAUUUUCUUAGUUUAGUGG
RNAcentral lists this long non-coding RNA (559 nucleotides) under Linum usitatissimum (flax). RNAcentral's name for it is "long non-coding RNA (LUSI_LNC007614)". The record is from RNAcentral. Lineage: Eukaryota; Viridiplantae; Streptophyta; Magnoliopsida; Malpighiales; Linaceae.